CAGGAAGUAGUUUAAGUAGAAUAUCAGCUUUGGGAGUUGAUGGUAGGGUGUAUUUACCUUCUUCUUGAUA
This 70-nucleotide transfer RNA is filed under the name Wallabia bicolor (swamp wallaby). RNAcentral describes it as "tRNA-Pro". It matches the Rfam family "tRNA". From Rfam's summary of the family: Transfer RNA (tRNA) molecules are approximately 80 nucleotides in length. Their secondary structure includes four short double-helical elements and three loops (D, anti-codon, and T loops). Lineage: Eukaryota; Metazoa; Chordata; Mammalia; Diprotodontia; Macropodidae. The record is from RNAcentral.